RNA transcript from Carassius carassius (crucian carp), 1472 nucleotides. It is a transcript of the gene named serine/arginine-rich splicing factor 5-like, with no coding region annotated. The record is from RefSeq and is a predicted model, not a curated record. NCBI's taxonomy places the organism in Eukaryota, Metazoa, Chordata, Actinopteri, Cypriniformes, Cyprinidae. The transcript has 6 exons.
GGUAUGUGUUUUAUUAACAGGAUUUCACGCUCUUUGCUCAGAUUUCCCUGAUUAAUUCAUCACCAUGAGUGGAUGUCGUGUGUUCAUCGGCCGUCUUAGCCCUCAUGCUCGUGAAAGAGACGUGGAGAAGUUUUUUAAAGGUUACGGACGCAUUCGGGAGAUUAACCUAAAAAACGGGUUUGGCUUUGUGGAGUUCGACGACCACAGGGACGCAGACGACGCAGUGUAUGAGCUGAAUGGAAAAGAGCUGUGCAGUGAGAGGGUGACCAUUGAACAUGCCCGUUCUCGUCGAGGAAGAGGUGGAGGUCCAGGAAUGGGUGGCCGUUUCUCUCCACGUUUUGGAGGGUAUCGUAAAUCCCGCAGUGUGGGUUCCAGGUAUGGUCCACCCGUGCGCACGGAGCACAGAAUCAUUGUGGAGAAUCUCUCCUCUCGCAUCAGCUGGCAGUUGUGCUCUGGUAUUCUUUAAUUGGAGUUGCAUGCACAGCCUCCGAGGUGCAUAACGCCCUCCCCUGGUUGUGUUCUGAAUAGUGUCCCUGUGGUGGCUCACCCGGCACGCUGUGUCUACUGGUCUAAGUCUUGGCUGGGUCCGUAGCACCAGACAGAGCCGUAGCACAGGAUAGCCUUAGAGGAGCUGGGUAGCCACUCUCUGGAGGGUCUGAUGUCAGAUCUGCUCCAUCCCCACGAUCUGCUGUUUGGGUCUUAUUCUGUUGGUGCUGAAGCGGGGAGGGGGACAGGGUUUUGGCCCCUCCCCAUCCUCUCUCUCUCUCUGGUGGGGUCCGUUCUUACAGAGGCCGGAUGGGUCAAGUCCGAGGUCGUUUUAACGCUUCAUUGCUUCCGUUUGCUAUUUGGACAAGUGGCUCUUUGCUAAUGCCUUCUGUGGUUUGGAACGGUAAGUAGCUCAUUACACUGGAUAGUUACACGGUAAAGAGGGUUUUGUCACUUUAAAUCUGGAGUUAGUUAUAAAUGGAGAAAGAUUGCCGGUAGGGAGUUUUAUCUAAUUAACAAAAUGAGACCUGUUCUCAGGAACUAGCUGUAGUCAGGCGUGUCUCCAUCUGAGGGCCUUGCUUCCUGCUGUUUUACACAGUCUAAAUGAGAUUUGUGUUGCCAAACACGCUCCGGUAGUUUUAUAACCGGGACAAACAUUCGGUAAGAUGACAUCUGUUGAGGGACCUUUCUACAGGUGCAUCAGCGCACACUUUAGAGCAGAUGCUGCAGAAUGUGUCUGUGUAUUAAAUGUGUGGGUGGUAAACUCCAGUGUGUGACUCAGUGCUUUUGGGUGUCUCUGAAAAUGUGUCAUUAAAUGGUUUCUGUGCUUUCUGCAGGAUCUGAAGGACUUGAUGAGGAAGGUGGGUGAAGUGACCUUUGUGGAUGCACACAGGACCAAGAAGAAUGAGGGUGUGGUGGAGUUUGCUUCACACAGUGAUAUGAAGAAUGCCAUAGAGAAGCUGGAUGGAACAGAUCUGAAUGGACGC